This 272-nucleotide ribosomal RNA is filed under the name Psychrobacter sp. a328. RNAcentral's name for it is "partial 23S ribosomal RNA". It matches the Rfam family "Bacterial large subunit ribosomal RNA", at positions 1 to 285 of the family's 2925-position model. The record is from RNAcentral. Lineage: Bacteria; Pseudomonadati; Pseudomonadota; Gammaproteobacteria; Moraxellales; Moraxellaceae.
GGUCAAGUAAUGAAGCGCACAUGGUGGAUGCCUUGGCAGUCAGAGGCGAUGAAAGACGUGACAGCCUGCGAUAAGCUUCGGGGAGGCGGCAAUAUCCUGUGAUCCGGAGAUUUCUGAAUGGGGAAACCCACUUACCAUAAGGUAGGUAUCCUAAUUUAUUAGGAAGCGAACGAGGGGAAGUGAAACAUCUCAGUACCCUUAGNAAUAGACAUCANUNGAGAUUCCCCUAGUAGCGGCGAGCGAACGGGGAGAAGCCGAUUAAUUCUAAUGUA